GACUUACACUAUCUGGGGCUAAGGGGGAGGUGGAUAUAAACCACCUAGUGUGACGACAGAUAAAAGUGAUUGGCUCUUGUGGAGCCAGAGCAAGAUAAGAUCUCCUAAACUGAUUAAACUUGCCGAAAGCGGCAUAUUCAAUCUAACUGCUGCUGUUCAAGGACCUGCAAAUUUGAAGAGGCUCCACAGGCAUACAAAAAUAUUGAUCAGGAGUGAUGUUAGAGGAAGC
RNAcentral lists this unclassified non-coding RNA (229 nucleotides) under Hevea brasiliensis (rubber tree). Lineage: Eukaryota; Viridiplantae; Streptophyta; Magnoliopsida; Malpighiales; Euphorbiaceae. The record is from RNAcentral.